This 24-nucleotide non-coding RNA is filed under the name Bombyx mori (domestic silkworm). Lineage: Eukaryota; Metazoa; Arthropoda; Insecta; Lepidoptera; Bombycidae. The record is from RNAcentral. RNAcentral also lists the same sequence under 15 other names.
AAGUCGUAACAAGGUUUCCGUAGG